UGGUAUAAAUAAAAUUACAUGUUAUUCAAGUAGCAAAGAGUUGGAGAGGAAGUAUGGCAGAAUUAGUAGCAGCAUCUCAACUAGAGAAGCCUGAAGUACAGAGAAAGGCAAGGCCCUCUCUUACGGAAAGUACUUCUCACGCAAGGCAAGAAGAGUAGGAUCCGGUUCUUGCACUUCAAGUAAGUCUAGUAACACAGAUGUUGUAGAUGCAUCUGCUGCAAAGCGGCGACCAAGCAUUUCAUCUAGUAGUACAUCUGCUUCAUAGUACUUAUUAUUCUGUAAACAACAGCGUAUAAGUGUGUUGUAUGUGACAUCAUUAGGCAAGCAAUAAUGAGCUUCCAUUUCCCUGAAUAGUUCAUUUGCUUCAUCCAAUAACCCUACAUGACAAUAUGCUUGGAUCAUCACAGUGUAUGUCUUGACAUUAGGUCGCAAACCUUUCGCAGGAAGGUUGUCAAAAAGGCUUCUUGCAUUCUCGAGAUGUCCAUUUUUGCUUAGUCCAUCAAUCAGAAUAGUGUAAACCUGUAUAUCAGCAACUAACCCACUGGACUCUAGUAUUUGAAAAAACGAUAGUGCUUCAAAUACAUAACAAUUCUGGCAAAGACCAUGCAACAAGAUACGACAUGUCACUUUAUCCAACUCAACACCUUGGUUAAUCAUCUUUUCCCUAAAAAAAUUACGUGCUUCAACAUGCCUGCCCACAUGAAAAAAACCUUGCAGUAUAGUACUGUAAGUCUGAAUAGUUGGGGUUAAACCUUCAGAGGGCAUUUGUUGAAAAAGAUCUAUGGCUCUGUCCACUUUCUUCUUUCUACAGUACCCGUUGAUGAGGAUAUUAUAGCUAAGAGCAUCAUGCAAUAUUCCCUUUCUAGUCAUGCUUUCGAACACUACUAAAGCUUUAUCAACCUCUCCCUGCAAGCAGUAUCCAUCCAUUAGUGAAUUGUAAGUGACUACAUCUGGAUAAUGGCCUCUUUGAAUCAUCAACUCUAUCACAUCCUCCGCAUCUUCAAUCAUUCCUUCUUUGCAAUACGCAUCAACCAAUAUGCUGUAAGUAAAAACAUCUCGAGAAAUGUUCCUAACAUCCAUCUCCUUGAGCAAUAAUUUGACAUCAUGCCAUCGAUUAAUGUCACACAGUCCUUGAAUUAACGAGCUGUAGGUUAUAACAUUUGGGGAUAUGCCUUUCCUUGUCAUUCGGUGGAGAAGACCCAAUGCUUGAUCGACUAACUUAUGUUUACAUAAACAGUCAAUAAUUGUGUUGUAAGUGACCGUAUUAGGCUUGCAACCUUUCUUCUCCAUAAUUUUGAACAACUUAACAGUCACAGAAGGAUUCCCUCUCUUGCAGAUGCCGUCAAUGAUAGUUGUAUAGGUAACAACAUCGGGUUGAAUAAGUUGAAAUCUGAUGAGGUUCUGGAACAAAAGCUGAGCCUCUUGAAGCAUAUCUUGGGAAAUAAGGCCCCUGAUGAGAGUGGUAUAAGUAAACACAUCACGGACAAAACCGUGCUUGAUGAUUCCAGCUAAUAGUUUUUGAAUUAUCUCAUUCAAAAACUUUUAGGGUCAAAGCUUCGUGUUCCCGAUUUAAUCAAUUAAUCCAUUACAACAUUGUGAAUUGAUUUGAUUUUGGAAAAUCGAUUAAUUUUUAUAAUUUUUUAAUAGAAAUAAAUAUAAUAAGUUUAUUGGAAUUAAAAUACUAUAUCAAUUCAAAUAUUAAUAAGUACAGAAUUUAUGAUAUAAUAAAGAUAUAUUUAUUACUAAAUAACCAAUGCCAUAUAACUAAAUAUUAAAAUACGUUCGAUUUUCAUUCCAAUUAAUCCCUCUGAUUAAUUCCCGAUUUUCGAUUAAUACUAAAUCGGUAGAUUAACUGGUUAGGUCUGAUUUCCGAUUUCUGUAACAGUGGUCAAGAGUUAUAUUUAUAUACUAGUUUAUGACUCGUGCAAUACCCGGGCAGUUAUAAUAUUUGUUAUUUUAUCGUAUAUAUUUUAAUUUAAACUAAUACUAUUAUGAGAAUAAAAUUAUGAUAGAAUAAUAUGAUUAAAUAAAUUUUUAUUUAACGGAUGAUAAAUUCUUAAUAGUUAAUUUCGUCAAAUUGCUAAUUAAAAAUGAGGUCGAAUAUAUAUAUUUUACUGAGAAUGUUACAUUACAUUUUUUUUUUCAUGUUAUAAUUUAAGGAGAUCUAUAAAAUCAUAUGUAAAUCAACCUAUCAAUCUUUUAAUAUUUCGUUAUUGAUAAUUAAUAAUAUAGUAUGGAACAUAUUAAGUUAAAAAAAUACGUAAACCAAAUACCGACCCAUCAUACUGACCUAAAUGUUUUGGUUUAUUAGAUAAUAAAAAAUAUAUUAUAACAUGUUAUAAAUUAAAGAGAUUCGUGACUAGAAUACCAACCGGCUCACAGAACUCUCGACUAACAUACCGACUAAGUGAACUUUUCCUAAUUCUGAUUUUCGAUUUGUGUAAUACUAAAUCUAUCAUUGGCUCAUUAUACAUACAUUUAUAGAGUAUAUAAAGGUUAUUAUUGAUAUUUUGUACUAAUGUAUUUAUUAUACAUUAAUGUCUAAUUGUUAAUAUACAUUAAUUAUUACAUGAUUUGGAAUUAAUUUAAUAUUAUACAUAUAAAUAACAUAUAUCUAAUCAUUUUUAAAAUUUUAACUUUUCCCCACAAAUUUUGUAAAUUUUAAUAUUUUUCCUGAUUUUUGAGUGAUUAAUCCAGUUUUGACCAAUUAAUCAUCGAUUUAACUGAAUUUUACUAAAUCAUAUUAAAACCCGUCUGAUUAUCGAUUAUUCGGUUAAUCGACCGAUUUUAAUUAUUAUGAUUUAAUAAAAUUAUAUAUGUGAUUUAAUAAAAUGAUAUAUAUAUAUAUAUAUAUAUAUAUAUAUAUAUAUAUAUCAUUUUUUUAACUAGUUGAACUAAAUUAAUAAGUAUAUACAAAUUUAUAUUAAUACAUAAUCUAAGUAUAGAUAAUAAUAAUAUCAAUAAUAUUAAUAAUAUAGUAAUAUNAAUGAUUUAAAAUACAAACAAAUAUAAAAUUUAAAUUAUACAAAUAAUCUCAACUUAAAGAGAAUGAACAAAAGAUAUAUAUAACAUACAUUAAAAAAAAUAGUAUAAAGCAAUCUGUGUUUUGCACAGGUUAAAAAGCUAAUUAGAAAUAGAUCAGUGAUUUCUCAUAACGGUUUCUCUGAAUAAAUAUAUAAUUUUUUUUAAUUAUAAUAUACAUGUAUCAAUAUAAUGAUAAUUUUAGGAGUGGCUAUGACUCCCUCUGAUCUCUGUUUAAACUUGUCUUAUAUAGGGAUAAACUAAAAACAAAAUCAUAGAAAUAAAUAUUCAUGUGAUAGUGCAAACAAUUAUCAAUAGUGUGGUGAGCAGGUCAUCAUUUAGCCGACUUUACUUGAGUUUUUUAUUUUGUUUGUAAGCACAAUUUUAUAUAUAAACAAUCUUCCAACAAGAAGAUGAUGAUUGGAAAUAAGUACAAGCAUUAGGAACUAAUAAGUCAAAGUUUGGGACCUAAAAUCAGCAUCAAAGCAGGAGCAUAUUAGUCGAUAUCCAACAAAGAGGAGAUCAGCAGCAAGCAUUCCAGCUUGGUGAGUUUCCUCCUGAGCACCCACCUCUUCCACACAAUUAUCCAUCUAAAACUGACCAUUCUGCAUGGCUAAACCAUUAUCCUGCAUGUUUUUCAGGAGCAUGAGCCAUGUUAACAGGGGCGUUAACUUGACCUAAACCCAAUCUAUGAAUUUGAUCAACUAGCCAAGGGUAGCAUAAAAAUUCACAGGAUCUUGGGCCUAGUCAAGAAGCACCACAUCCUUGAAAUCUGGAUGAUCGACCCCAAGACAUACGCUAUCACACAAGUCCAGCUCCUGUCUUUGAGCAAAAUAUCGAUUUGUGAGACUAGAUCAUAAACUGCAGCUGGAGCACCCAUUAGGAAGUCCCUCACAGUACGAAACGCCUCCCAGUUAUCAGUUUCCAGGAUAACAGAAGCAUAUCCUUUGAUUAUGGCACGACUCAGCGGGGCAUAAAUCGCCCAGAGUUGGUUCGCCAAUCGCGUUAGGAAGGGGAUAGCCCCCACCAUUACAUGCCUGAAAGAGUCGUUUGUAAGUAAAUGCUCGACUGAAGCUUGAGGAGAACCACUUGAGUUCAUCAUUGCUGUUGCUGAUACAGUUGACUUGCACGUGAAACUCAGCAUGCAUUGGCCAGUGAAGAUAUGGAAUUAAUGAGGGAGAUCCAUGCAAGUUAAUAUACUUUGAUAAUUCUAUAUGAAGAUCUUAAUAUCUUUUGCCUGAAUUAUUUGACUAUUCAGAUUCGAGAAAUGAAUACCAUGAUAAGAAUGGUUGAGCUUCCUUCUGAAGUUGAUCAGUGCAAUCAAAUUUGAAUUAAAGCCAGGCUGACAGCAGUUUCUCUUUGAUCCUUCUCACGAUAUGAUCCACCUUAAAUAACCUUGCAUGCAUUGGCUGAUGAAAAUUGUACAAAGAUAACCUAUUCUCAGAAUGGCUCCAGGUCAGCAACUUAUUCAUCGUAGCAGCUCUUAAAACACUAGUUGCUUCCACACGUUUGCCUGUAAGAAAAUAACAUUGCAAUAUAGUACUGUAACUCUCACUAGUUGCUUUUAUACCUCCAAAAAUGCUGGCAAACUCGAGAAGAUUAUGUACCUCAGAACUCUCUCCUUCGUUACACCUACGGCAAGUACUUCUUGCACAAAGCAAGCAGAGCAUGAUCCUGUUCUUGCACAUCAAGUAAAUCCACUAAAACAGAUGCAGUAGAUGCAUCUGCUGCAAAGCCGUGACCAAGCAUUUCAUCUAAGAGUACACCUGCUUCACAGUAAUUCUUAUUCUGUAAACAACCGCGGAUAAGCAUGUUGUAUGUGACAUCAUCAGGCAAGCAAUCAUUUCCUACCAUUUCCCUGAAUAGUUCAUUUGCUUCAUCCAAUAACCCUUCAUGACAAUAUGCUUGGAUCAUCAUUGUGUAUGUUUUGACAUCAGGCCGCAAACCUUUCAAAGGAAGGUUGUCAAAAAGGCUUCUUGCAUUCUCUAGAUGUCCAUUUUUGCUUAGUCCAUCCAUCAGAAUAGUGUAAACAUGUAUAUCAGGAACUAGCCCACGGCAUUCCAGUAUUUGAAAAAAGGAUAGUGCUUCAACAACAUAACUAUUCUGGCAAAGACCAUGCAACAAGAUACGGCAUGUCACUUUAUCUAACUCAACGCCUUGGUUAAUCAUCUUUUCCUUAAAAAAUUUACGUGCUUCAACAUGUCUACCUGCAUGAAAAAAACCUUGCAGUAUAGUACUGUAAGUCUGAAUAGAUGGGGUUAAACCUUCAGAGGGCAUUUGUUGAAAAAGAUCUAUGGCUCUGUCCACUUUAAACUUUUUACAAUAACCGUUGAUGAGGAUAUUAUAGCUAAGAGUAUUAGGCAAUAUUCCCUUUCUAGUCAUGCUUUCGAACACUACUAAAGCUUUAUCAACCUCUCCCUGCAAGCAGUAUCCAUCCAUUAGUGAAUUGUAAGUGACUACAUUAGGAUAAUGGCCUCUUUGAAUCAUCAACUCUAUCACAUCCUCUGCAUCUUCAAUCAUUCCUUCUUUGCAAUACGCAUCAAUCAAUAUACUGUAAGUAAAAACAUUUUGAGAAAUGUUCCUAAGAUCCAUCUCCUUGAGCAAUUGUUUGACAUCAUGCCAUCGAUUAAAGUCACACAACCCUUGAAUUAAAGAGCUGUAGGUCAUAACAUUUGGUGAUAUGCCUUUCCUUGUCAUUUGGUGGAGAAGACCCAAUGCUUGAUCGAUUAAUCUAUGUUUACACAAACAGUCAAUAAUUGUGGUGUAAGUUACAGUAUUAGGCCUGCAACCUUUCUUCUCCAUAAUUUUAAACAACUUAACAGCCACAGAAGGAUUCCCUCUCUUGCAGAUGCCGUCAAUGAUAAUUGCAUAGGUAACAACAUCGGAUUGAAUAAGUUGAAAUCUGAUGAGGUUCUGGAACAAAAGCUGAGCCUCUUGAAGCAUAUCUAGGGAAAUAAGGCCCCUGAUGAGAGUGGUAUAAGUCACCACACUUGGCACAAAACCGUGCUUGAUGAUUCCAGCCAGUAAUGAAAAGGCAAAAUGAACACGAUCCAAGUGACAAAAACAGUUGAUAAUAGUAGUAAUGGUAAAUAUAUCAACAGGGAUGCUUUCUACCCGCAUCUUUCUAAAAAGGGAGACAGCUACGGAGUAGUGUUUCAUCUUAACAAGAGCUGUUAAGAGUUGAGUGAAGUUGAUAACAGUGGGCAGAGGCUUCAUAAGGAGCAUUUUAUCAAACAGUUGAAGAGCAUCAUCGAGUUUAUCAAAACCAACCUUAGAUUUCUCAAGGAGUAAAUGUUGAAGUCGAGCAUGAGGUGGAUUAGAGGAACAAGGGAAAUGGGGUUUGGGUUUAAAGGGAAUAUUAGGGUUAGGGUUAGUGGAGAAGUGAGAAACUGUAAUAACAGAAUAGGAUGUAAGACAACAAGUAAGAGCUGAAGCUGCAGAAUGUGGUAGGAAUCGAGAAUUAAAUAUCACAAAUUUCAUCAUCAUAUCUCUACUUGUCAGACUCAGAUUUUUACCUGGUAGAACGCAAAAGAGCAGAGUAUCAUCAACUGAAGCCCAGAAUUUUGAUUUACGCCUAUGUUAUCACUCUGUACCAGAAAUUAUUAGGUUUCUUAAAAUAGUAUUCCCGUUUUAGUUCACUCAAUAUUAAAUAAAACUUUAAAUUGUUUUCCAAAUAAAUUGAUAUAUUUAACAUUUGUUUUUAGCCUUUAUAUAACUUAGAUUUAAUAAGUGUUUGACGAGAGCUCGAUUGGACUAUUUACAUCAUUGUUUAUGUCAUUUUAUUAUUUCAAAAAUAUAAUAAAUUUUAAUAUUUUAUAUUAAAGUGGUCAUAUGUUAAGAUAUCUCAACCACCUAACUUCAUCUCUACGAGAACUUGUUUAAAACUGUCAUAUUAUUAUAUAUCACGUUAUUAAAUUUUGAUUUGUUUUAUAGAAUUGAGUAUUUUUUUUAAAUAUACGAGUUUCACAUAGACAAUUCUUAUUUUUGUUUGAUCACUAAAAAUCGAGUAAGAAAGUCAAAUAAGGUUGAAGGUGUGAGGAGAAUAUUCCUAAUAAAAUAUAUGAUAUAUGUCCUUAGAUGUGAAAGCCAAACAAAGUUGAAGGUGUCAGAGAAAUAUUCGAAAAAUAACAUAUUAUAUAUGUCCUUAUAUGUUUUAACAUGCAUAUGUAUAUAUUAUUGUGAUUUAUUUUUAUCAUGGGCUUACAUGUAAUACACUUCAUUUUGCAACUAUUAUUAGGUUAAAUUUGUUGUCAAAAUAUCUUUUAGAUGUGACAUGGUGAUUUUUAUAGCAAUUGGAGUGUUUAAAUGGCAUCCUUAGAGCAAGUCCAAUGGUGAUGUUAAAAUAGAUGUAGCUAUUGUUAUAAUUUGAAAUCAAAAAGUGGUUUUUGGUGCUAAAAUAGAAUUUAUGGUCCAAUGAUAAAUGUAAAAUAGCACCAAAUAUAUCCAAAUAAAGUUAUAUUCCAAUUAUAUAAUCUUAAAGUACAUAACUAUAUUUGUCAGUAUUACUUUAUUCAUGCAUUUUGUCACUUGCAUGCUUAUGUGGCAAUUAUAGCACCAUCUAUACUUGGUUCUAUAUUUAGCACCAAGUAUAGCAUUUUGCUAUUUUACAUUCAAGUUUAGCAUCCCAUUGGAGUUGAUUUUUUUGCUUGGGUGCUAUAUUAUAGCAAUAGCACCUAUUUUAGCACCACCAUUGGACUUGCUCUUAGAAAUCGGGUAGAUAGGUGAUAUUCCCUCUCUCUCCUCCAAUUUUUUAUCGUUUCGAAUGGAGUGUUUGACACGUAUUUUUAAAGUUCAUGUAAAGUAUAGCUUCAUAAUUUAUUCUUUUUCUGAACAAAAAUUUAAUGUUUAAAUUUUUUAUAUUGGAAAAAAAUUAUAAAAAUAAGUUAUAGAACUAUAUUUUAUAUGAGUGUUAAAAUGCGUGUCGAGUACUCCACUCCAAACGAUAAAAAUUGGGGGGCGGAGAGUAUAUUCUAACGAGAAUGAUGGCCUCUUUCACAUAAAUCCUAAAAUAUUGAUAACUAUUAAAAAUAUCUUAAAUUAAUAAUUAAAGCAGAAAUUAUCAAUUUAGUCAUUUUUUUCUAUUUAAUUUUUUGAGAAACUUAUUGAAAUGAUAUAUAUGACUAUCAAAACGAGCCUCUAUCGAAAACAACAAGUUAACCACUUCGAUAAAAGUUGGAUGAAUUUAACGUGGCGUUUGAAUGUUAUUAGUGAACAUUUUGACAUAAAUAGUUGUACAAGGACAAUGAUCUUCAGUCUUGUAAUCUUGUUGAUAAAAACAUUCUAAAUCUUUAUUCGAAUAAAAAGUACCUUGUGCAUUCGCAUUUUUCUAGGACCUAUAUUUUUCUAGGUGACGGAGAAGAUUAAAGAAAUUGGCACUCAAAUCUGAUUCUCACACUUUGUAUUAGAGUGAGUUGCCCAAAAUUUUUAAAAGCCCGUUUUCUGAUUAGGUGGCAAGGAAAAAAGAAAAGAGUGGCAGAGCACUUGGGUUCAGCAUUUCACAGCACUUGCUCUUAGUUCCCAAAGAUGAGAAGUGUUUCUCAGUUUCACUAUUAGCUUAUAACUCGAUACUUUAAAGUUUAAGGCUAAUAAUAUCUUCUUCUUGAUCUAUCUUAUUUGAUAUGUUAGUCUCAUGCAAGUCCCGGUAACAACAUUGCAAAUAUAUUUAAGAACUUACUGGGAUCGCAGAUCUGGUGUGUCAGAUUCAGAAUUGCNAAUUAAGAACUCACUGGGAUCGCAGAUCCGGUGUGUCAGAUUCAGAAUUGCAAAAUCUUUUGAAAGCAUACAAUAUCCACAAAGUUACGAGCUGAAUACCGCUGUAGGGAUGUAUACAAUUGUAUCCACUGUGUUGCCACUCUAAAAACCAACAAAAAGUUCCACCCAGCUGACAUUAAAGACCUGGGCUGACUGGUCUGAUCAGCCGUUCAAGUUCUUUAUCUGAGAGCACUGGCCAGGUUAAUGGUUCUGCAAUGCACUGAGAAGUCUGCAGACUCGGAAUCAGAUGACCUCAACUAAGGUCAUCAGAGGUCAGUAUCUAAGAGUAGUAAGAGAGGUGAUAUAGUGAAGAAGAUAAAUUAGAAGUCCAUGACCAGGGACGGAUUAUAGGAUGCACAAGACACUCGCAGCAAGCAAGGAACUCGCUCCACCUAGCCCCAUCGGCAAGGCUUCAUAAAGCCACGAAAAACAUCAUAUAUAUUUCCUGAGUUCGAAACCUUACUCUCUCCCAAAAUACUUGAUAAAAUAAUCCAUCAAAAUAUAGGUACACAUCCAAUAUACAUUAGCAUUGUGCUUCACUUAUGAAUAGUUUACAGUUUGUCGAGGCUGCCAAUCUCUCUAGUCUCUUUAAUUGAUUUGCAGUUCUUUCUUUUUUUGCUAAAUCUAUUCAACUCAGUGGCUUAGAAUUUUAAAUGGACUACUAUCCUGCAGCAUUAGCCAAUUCCAGACUACUUAAUUCUUGAUAAAAGUGGUAACCGAAGUUACCUAUGGAAAGAAACCCAUACACAUACAAGCUCUUUUACUCAUUGCGCUGAUAAUUUCAGACUGCAGUUAAGCUAUAUUAAGCCUUUUAGUUAUUUCAUGUAAUAAAGACAUUAAGAUAAAUCAACAUUCUAUAGACAAAAAGUCGAUGUAGUGCAGAGGAGCUCCAUUCUUAAAUUUAAAUUCAACAAAAUUAUAUCAAGAUAACACCAAAUCAUUUGUGAUCAGUCAGAGAAGAACUGCAAAUUUAACGACAAUGCAUUUGAAAUGAGUGCUGCUAGGGUUGCAGACCCUUGAAAUUAAAAUGUUGGCAAAUUGAAGAUUAUGUACCUUAGCAAUCCCUCACUUUGCUUGACCUAUGGCAGAUACUUCUUAUGCAAAGCAAGAAGAGCAGGAUCCUGUUCUUGUGAUUCAAGUAGGUCCAGUAACAGGGAGGCGGUAGAUGCAUCAGCUGAGAAGCCACCAGCACACAUCUCAUAGACCACCGGCUUCAGCAUACUUCUUAUUGUAAAAACAGACACAAUAAGUGUGUCAUAGGUAACAUCAGUCGACAAACAACCAUUAAAAGUCCACCAACAAUUCAUUCGCCUCAUGGAGUAAUCCCUCUCCACAUACUGCUUGUAAGAAAAUAACAUUGCAAUAUAGUACUGUAAUAACUCUCAAUAGUUGCUUUUAAACCUUCAAAAAUGCUGGCAAAAUCGAAAAGAUUAUGUACCUGAGAACUCUCUCCUUCAUUACACCUACGGCAAGCACUUCUUGCACAAAGCAAGCAGAGCAGGAUCCUGUUCUUGCACAUCAAGUAAAUCCAGUAAAACAGAUGCAGUAGAUGCAUCUGCUGCAAAGCCGCGACCAAGCAUUUCAUCUAGGAGUACACCUGCUUCAUAGUAUUUCUUAUUCUGUAAACAACCGCGGAUAAGCAUGUUGAAUGUGACAUCAUUAGGCAAGCAAUCAUUUCCUUCCAUUUCCCUGAAUAGUUCAUUUGCUUCAUCCAAUAACCCCUCAUAACAAUACGCUUGAAUCAUCACUGUGUAUGUCUUGACAUCAGGUGACAAACCUUUCGCAUGAAGGUUGUCAAAACGGCUUCUUGCAUUCUCUAGAUGUCCAUUUUUGAUUAGUCCAUCAAUCAGAAUAUUGUAAACAUGUAAAUCAGGAACUAACCCCCUCGAUUCCAGUAUUUGAAAAAAGGAUAGUGCUUCAACAACAUAAUUAUUCUGGCAAAGACCAUGCAACAAGAUACGGAAUGUCACUUUGUUUAACUCAACGCCUUGGUUAAUCAUCUUUUCCUUAAAAAAUUUCCGUGCUUCAACAUGUCUACCCACAUGAAAAAAACCUUGCAGUAUAGUGUUGUACGUCUCAAUAGUUGGGGUUAAACCUUCAAAGGGCAUUUGUUGAAAAAAAUCUAUUGCUCUGUCCACUUUCUUCUUUCUACAGUACCCGUUGAUGAGGAUAUUAUAGCUAAGAGCAUCAUGCAAUAUCCCUUUCUAGUCAUGCUUUCGAACACUACUAAAGCUUUAUCAACCUCUCCCUGGAAGCAGUAUCCAUCCACUAGUGAAUUGUAAGUGACUACAUCAGGAUAAUGGCCUCUUUGAAUCAUCAACUCUAUCACAUCCUCAGCAUCUUCAAUCAUUCCUUCUUUGCAAUACGCAUCAAUCAAUAUAUUGUAAGUAAAAACAUCUGCAGAAAUGUUCCUAAGAUCCAUCUCCUUGAGCAAUUGUUUGACGUCAUGCCAUCGAUUAAUGUCACACAAUCCUUGAAUUAACGAGCUGUAGGUUAUAACAUCUGGGGAUAUGCCUUUCCUUGUCAUUGGGUGGAGAAGACCCAAUGCUUGAUCAACUAAUCUAUGUUUACACAAACAGUCAAUAAUUGUUGUGUAAGUUACAGUAUUAGGCUUGCAACCUUUCUUCUCCAUAAUUUUGAACAACUUCACAGCCACAGAAGGACUCCCUCUCUUGCAGAUGCCGUGAAUGAUUGUGUUAUAGGUAACAACAUCGGGUUGAAUAAGUUUAAAUCUGAUGAGGUUCUGGAACAAAAGUAACCACAAAAUCAACUAAAAGGCAAACAAAAAUUCAACCAAAAGCAACCCACUGCUUCCUUCUCGAUCUCUUUCUUUACCUCUCUCCACCAAACUCUUUAUCCUCUCUCCUCUACCAACCACUGCCGCGUGGCUUAUCCGCUGCGACAAUGAUUUCUCCGGCAGAAUUUCAUUCAUAAACCCAAUCAAUACAAAGUCCCAAUUUCAUGAACCCCAAUUUUCUAUUCCGAACAUAUGUAUGAUUAUGUGUAUGUAUGUAUACGCUGUGAUUGAGAGAUGAGAUGAUGGAUUAGAAAGCCAGAAGUGAGCGAGCUUGUUUGUCAACAAACUCCUUUCCCUCUGCCUUUGGUAUGAAACGUAAAAUAUAAACUUUACAGUGCUUUUUUUACAAAAGGUCGUAUAUUCGAAAUGGUUUAAAGGAAAUCAUAUUUCUGCAAUAUAUAUGUUAAAAAGUAGUACAUUAGCUGAAUUCCCUAAAUAAAAUUACAUGUUAUUCAAGUAAAUAUAUCACUACUAGGAGGGUGCCCGCUGCCGCGGACUAAUAUUAUAGGAAAAAUUUUAUUUUUGGAAAUAUUCAAUUCGAAUAGUUUGAUGUUUUUUGUAACAUACAGUGUCUAAAACCUUGUAAUUUAAAUUAAUUUAAUAUAGAAAUUUAAUUCAUGUAAUAUCAGUAUCAAAUUUUAAAUAUUAUCAAGUAAAACAAUAAAACACCUUAUAAGACACAACCAUUUUGUUAACAUACAAUUAAUUAGAUGGAAGUAAACAUAUUCAGUAUCAAUUACAUGCCACAAUACCGCGGACUAAUAGUACAGACAAAUUUUUUAUUUAAUAAAUUGCAGAUUAAAUAAAAAAUUUCUUUGUUGUGAGACUCUAUUGUUGACAACUAUUGUAAUUAAAUUUUAUAUCAUAAAUGAAAAACCGAUAUAAUCUAAAUAUCUGUAUUUAGAAUAUUCUCAAUUAAAUGAUUUCAUGUUACGUAAACUAUUUACGUACUAAUAAAAAAAAUUAUUUCAAGAAAGGUAUAAUAUAAUAAUAGUCAAUCACUAAAAUUACGUAAUAAUUUAUUAGUACGUAAAUAAUCAUAUUUUAUAAAGUAUUCCUCGGCGUCGCCGAGCGGCGACGCCUCGCACUUUAAUCGAAUAUUUUAUAAUCAAAUCAAAAUAAUUAUAUAGCUAAUGACGUCUCGCGUUUUAUUCAAAUAAUUUAUAUUUAAAAAUUUUGCAAUCAAUAUUAAUUUACAUGUAAUUCAUAGUUUUCUUAAAUAAACGAUAAUGAUUACUAUAAAGAGUCAUAUUUACUUGAAAAUUUGCGAAUGCAGGUCAAUAAUAUAUACUCCCUCUGUCUAACUAAUUUCUUAUCUAUAUUUUCGUAUAAGAUUAUUAUAAUUAAAUAAAAUAAAAUUUAUUUCAAGAAAGGUAUAACAUAAUAAAAGUCCAUCACUUGCAUUCUAAAAUUACGUAAUAUUUUAUUAGUACGUAAAUAGUUAUAUUUUAUAAAGUAUUCCUUGGCGUCGCCGAGCGGCGACGCCUAGCACUUUAAUCGAAUAUUUUAUAUUUUAAUAUUUUAUAAUCAAAUCAAAGUAAUUAUAUAGCUAAUGACGUCUCGCGUUUUGUUCAAAUAAUUUAUAUUUUAAAAUUUUGCAAUCUUAAAUAAGAGAUAAUGAUUAAUAUAAGAAAUCACAUUUACAUGAAAAUUUGCGAAUGAAGGUCAAUGAUAUAUACUCCCUCUGUCUAUCUAAUUUCUUAUCUAUAUUUCUGUAUAAGAUUAUUAUAAUAAAAUAAAAUAAAAUUUAUUGUAAGAAAGAUAUAAUAUAAUUAAUAAAAGUCCAUAAUCAUUUACAUUCUAAAUUUACAUAAUAUUUUAUUAGUACCUAAAUAGUCAUAUUUUAUAAAGUAUUCCUCGGCGUCGCCGAGCGGCGACGCCUCGAACUUUAAUCGAAUAUUUUAUAAUCAAAUCGAAAUAAUUAUACUGGUAAUGACGUCUCGCGUUUUAUUCAAAUAAUUUAUAUUUUAAAAUUUUGCAAUCAAUAUUAAUUUACAUGCAGUUCGUAGUUUUCUUAAAUAAACGAUAAUGAUUAAUAUAAAGAGUCACAUUUACAUGAAAAUUUGCGAAUGCAUGCCAAUAAUAUAUACUCUCUCUGUCCUAACUAAGUUCUUAUCUAUAUUUUUGUAUAAGAUUAUUAUUAUAAUAAAAUAAAAUAUAUUUCAAAAAAGGUAUAACAUAAUAAAAGUCCAUCAGUAUUUUUGUAUAAGAUUAUUAUUAUAAUAAAAUAAAAUAUAUUUCAAGAAAGGUAUAACAUACUAAAAGUCCAUCAGUUACAUUCCAAAAUUAUGUAAUAUCUUAUUAGUACGUAAAUAGUCAUAUUUUAUAAAGUAUUCCUCGGCGUCGCCGCGCGGCGACGCCUCGCACUUUAAUCGAAUAUUUUAAUAUUUUAUAAUCAAAGUAAAGUAAUUAUAUAGGUAAUGACGUCUCACGUUUUUUUCAAUUAAUUUAUAUUUUAAAAUUUUGCAAUCAAUAUUAAUCUACAUGGAAUUCGUAGUUUUCUUAAAUAAGAGAUAAUGAUUAAUAUAAAGAGUCACAUUUAUAUGAAAAUUUGCGAAUGCAUAAUAUAUACUCCCUCCGUCUAACUAAUUUCUUAUCUAUAUUUUUGUAUAAGAUUAUUAUAAUAAAAUAAAAUAAAUUUUUUUUGAAAACAUUUAUUGUAAGAAAGAUAUAAUAUAAUAAAAGUCCAUCACUUGCAUUCUAAAAUUACGUAAGAUUUUAUUAGUAUGUAAAUAGUCAUAUUUUAUAAAGUAUUCCUCGGCGUCGCCGAGCGGCGACGCCUCGCUCUUUAAUCGAAUAUUUUAUAUUUUAAUAUUUUAUUAUCAAAUAAAAAUAAUUAUAUAGCUAACAACGUCUCACGUUUUGUUCAGAUAAUUUAUAUUUUAAAAUUUUGCAAUUAAUAUUAAUUUACAUGCAAUCCGUAAUUUUCUUAAAUAAGAGAUAAUGAUUAAUAUAAAGAGUCACAUUUACAUCAAAAUUCGUGAAUGCAGGUCAAUAAUAUAUACUCCCUUCGUCUAAUUAAUUUCUUAUCUAUAUUUUUGUAUAAGAUUAUUAUAAUAAAAUAAAAUAAAAUUUAUUGUAAGAAAGAUAUAAUAUAAUAAAAGUCCAUCACUUACAUUCUAAACUUACGUAAUAUUUUAUUAGUACGUAAAUAGUUAUAUUUUAUAAAGCAUUCCUCGGCGUCGCCGAGCGGCGACGCCUCGCUCUUUAAUCGAAUAUUUUAUAUUUUAAUAUUUUAUAAUCAAAUCAAAGUAAUUAUAUAGGUAAUGACGUCUUGCGUUUUGUUCAAUUAAUUUCUAUUUGAAAAUUUUGCCAUCAAUAUUAAUCUACAUGCAAUUCGUAGUUUUCUUAAAUAAGAGAUAAUGAUUGAUAUAAAGAGUCACAUUUACAUGAAAAUUUGUGAAUGUAGGUCAAUAAUAUAUACUCCCUCCGUCUAACUAAUUUCUUAUCUAUAUUUUUGUAUAAGAUUAUUAUACUAAAAUAAAAUAAAAUUUAUUUUAAGAAAGAUAUAAUAUAAUAAAAGUCCAUCCCUUACAUUCUAAAAUUAAGUAAUUUUUUAUUAGUACGUAAAUAGUCAUAUUUUAUAAAGUAUUCCUUGCCGUCGCCAAGCGGCAACGACUCGCACUUUAAUCGAAUAUUUUAUAAUCAAAUCAAAAUAAUUAUAUAGCUAAUGAUGUUUCGUGUUUUGUUCAAAUAAUUUAUAUUUUAAAAUUUUACAAUUAAUAUUAAUUUACAUGCAAUUCGUAGUUUUCUUGAAUAAAAGAUAAUGAUUAAUAUUUGAUAAAAAAAAAGAGAUAAUGAUUAAUAUAAAGAGUCACAUUUACAUGAAAAUUUGAAAAUGCAUGUGAAUAAUAUAUACUCUCCGUCUAACUAAUUUCUUAUCUAUAUUUUUGUAUAAAAUUAUUAUAAUAAAAUAAAAUAUAAUUUAUUUCAAGAAAGGUAUAAUAUCAUAAACGUCCAUCACUUACAUUCUAAAAUUAUGUAAUAUUUUAUUAGUACGUAAAUAGUCAUAUUUUAUAAAGUAUUCCUCGGCGUCGCCGAGCGGCGACGCCUCGCACUUUAAUCGAAUAUUUUAUAAUUUUAUAUUUUAUUAUCAAAUAAAAAUAAUUAUAUAGCUAACGACGUCUCGCGUUUUGUUCAAAUAAUUUAUAUUUCAAAAUUUUGCAAUCAAUAUUAAUUUACAUGCAAUUCGUAGUUUCCUUGAAUAAAAGAUAAUGAUUAAUAUAAAGAGUCACAUUUACAUGAAAAUUUGCGAAUGCAGGUCAGUAAUAUAUACUCCUUCCGUCUAACUAAUUUCUUUACAUGUUCUCUUUACUAUUCGACACGCAUUUAAGAUUUUGAUUAAGUAUAAUUUCAUAAUUUAUUUUUAAAAAUUUUGUUCUAUGACUAAAAGUUUAAACAUAAUAUUUUUAAUUUAGAAAUUCAGAUUAUCAAAAUAUGAAAACUUAUAACCAACGUAAGAACUUGAGAGGAAAUAGAAAAUAGAAAAGAAAGUAUCAUUUUGAAAUUUGAAAGUGGGAUAGUUGUAUUUUUUAUCAGUUUGUGUAUAUAAGAAAGAGCAAGCGUACUUUGAGAAGCCAAACUUCUCAUGUAAGCUGUAAUAGUUACAUGCUGUGGGCCCGUUGUAGUGGCAGCUGGCUGUCAAUGACAUGCACGUAAAAUUCGUAAUUACGGAGUAAAGCAGGAUUGAAAUGUUUUCAUGAGACAUCUACUGUAGUAAACACGCUUCAAUAUACUGUAGGUUGAUAGGUAGAUAGAUAGAUUAGUCAAUAGAAGAUUUUUAAAACAAUGCUUACCUAUAAUCUUGUGAUUAGUGUAGCUGUAUUGAAAAUAGGAUCACGUGUGUUUCAUAAGGCACGGCCCUAUCAUCAAUUCGAAAGAGCAUAAACAUGUUCUUGACAAUAUUGCUGGAAAAUCUUUCUUGUUUGAUUGGUAUUAUAAAAAUUAUUCAUUGAAACUUAAACAGGAGAGUAUAUUAUAAUAGUUCCUUACCCUCUCCAUUUUAUUCAAAUAUUUAUAUUUAGGUUGCGCAUGAAAGUUAUAAAAGUAAGUAAAAUAAUGAGAUAAAUAUCAAAAAUUGAAUUUAGUGGUGGGAUUGAUUGAUAUUUAAUGUAUAAAAUAAGUAUAGUGGAGAAAAGUAAUGCGAUUAGUGAAUUUUUAUAUUAUAAAAUUAUAUUAUAUUUGGUAAAAUUUGAAAUGUAAAGAACUGGAUGGAAAUUAUAGAAAGAAAAAUAUAAAGAAAUGGUUGGGACAGAAUGAUUAGGUAUUAAUUAAAAUUUAUGCUUAUUUGAAGUUCAACUGGUAUUCUUACUAAAAUUUAUGCUUAUUUUAAAGGUCAGUAAUAUAUACUCCUUCCGUCUAACUAAUUUCUUUACAUGUUCUCUUUACUAUUCGACACGCAUUUAAGAUUUUGAUUAAGUAUAAUUUCAUAAUUUAUUUUUAAAAAUUUUGUUCUAUGACUAAAAGUUUAAACAUAAUAUUUUUAAUUUAGAAAUUCAGAUUAUCAAAAUAUGAAAACUUAUAACCAACGUAAGAACUUGAGAGGAAAUAGAAAAUAGAAAAGAAAGUAUCAUUUUGAAAUUUGAAAGUGGGAUAGUUGUAUUUUUUAUCAGUUUGUGUAUAUAAGAAAGAGCAAGCGUACUUUGAGAAGCCAAACUUCUCAUGUAAGCUGUAAUAGUUACAUGCUGUGGGCCCGUUGUAGUGGCAGCUGGCUGUCAAUGACAUGCACGUAAAAUUCGUAAUUACGGAGUAAAGCAGGAUUGAAAUGUUUUCAUGAGACAUCUACUGUAGUAAACACGCUUCAAUAUACUGUAGGUUGAUAGGUAGAUAGAUAGAUUAGUCAAUAGAAGAUUUUUAAAACAAUGCUUACCUAUAAUCUUGUGAUUAGUGUAGCUGUAUUGAAAAUAGGAUCACGUGUGUUUCAUAAGGCACGGCCCUAUCAUCAAUUCGAAAGAGCAUAAACAUGUUCUUGACAAUAUUGCUGGAAAAUCUUUCUUGUUUGAUUGGUAUUAUAAAAAUUAUUCAUUGAAACUUAAACAGGAGAGUAUAUUAUAAUAGUUCCUUACCCUCUCCAUUUUAUUCAAAUAUUUAUAUUUAGGUUGCGCAUGAAAGUUAUAAAAGUAAGUAAAAUAAUGAGAUAAAUAUCAAAAAUUGAAUUUAGUGGUGGGAUUGAUUGAUAUUUAAUGUAUAAAAUAAGUAUAGUGGAGAAAAGUAAUGCGAUUAGUGAAUUUUUAUAUUAUAAAAUUAUAUUAUAUUUGGUAAAAUUUGAAAUGUAAAGAACUGGAUGGAAAUUAUAGAAAGAAAAAUAUAAAGAAAUGGUUGGGACAGAAUGAUUAGGUAUUAAUUAAAAUUUAUGCUUAUUUGAAGUUCAACUGGUAUUCUUACUAAAAUUUAUGCUUAUUUUAAACAAAACAUAUAAAUAAAAAAUUUAACCAACCAGUUUAAAAAACACCACUCCAACCGCGUUCAUCUGUUGUCUAUAAUUUUAGCCAACCUUCUAUGAAUGACUAUAUUUGUCGAUCCGCUACAGGUCUGUAAGAAAUCUAUAGGAAGAUUACACAUCAUUUAUUACCAUAUUGAACUAAUAUAUUCUAUUUUAACAAUCUAAAAUAUUAAUAACAUACUAUUUUUAAAUUAUAGCCAACUAAUAUAGUCAAUAUCGUUGAAGCACAAUUUCUUACAGGUUCAGCAAAUUUUACAUAAUAUCUUACGGAUCCAAUUUAGCCAACGAUUAUAACCAACCCCGUUGAAGAUGCUCUUACAUGGGCGGGAAUAAUACAUAAAUUUGGGAUGAUUUGAAUUACAAAUCUAAGUACAAACUUAGCCGAAAAAAAGGAAAUAGGGAGAAGGAGCAUGGGAAGUAGGGACAUGCAGGACCGAGCGAGGCUUGUGUAUGUAAUAAGUACUCAUUGCCCAUCUUAAAAUAUUGAGUUAGUAAGAUUGGGUCAAAAAGUAUGGAAGGGUUUGAUGGGUAAAACUUUUUCCCAAAACGACAUUUGUUUUUGAAAAUAGUGCAAGAUAUCUGGUAAUGACACUAACAUGCUUAUCUCAUUCGUUUUAAUUUACAUUUUCAUUUUAAAAAGUCACAAAAUUCAAGAAAAGAGAACAUUCACAAAUUCAUUACAUUAAAUAUUCAUAAUAUAUAAAAUGAGGUUAAUGAAAUAUGAAUAAGAGAUAUCUGAAGUAAAAAUUGAUUUUAAAAAUAUAAUUUUACAUUGAAAGUUAAAGUAACAACUAUUUAAAAUUAUUUUUUCAUAAAUAAAUUGAUUAUAUUUUUAUUGAAUGAAAAUAAACUAUAUAUAUUUGCAAAUAUUAAAUAAUUCAAUUCAAUUAUAUAUUAGAGAAUGACUACUGAAGCUAUAAUAUCAAAAUCCAAAUAAUGUUGUUAGUUUGCUUUUUUUAAUACUCUGUGGCAGUUUUUUUAGGUUACUUUUUUACAUGCAUUUUGAGAUUUUUAUAAAAUAUAAUUUUAUAAUAUUUUUUUAAAAAAAUUCACGGAUAAAUGUUUGACAUUUAAAUUUUAAUUCAAAAAAAGUUAAUACAAAUAUAUAAAUUAUACUCGAUAGCAGUGCCAAAAUGAUGGCCUAAACUUAGCGGAUGUUUGGGUACACUACUUACGGACUUAAAAGUGGCAUAAGUCCGCUUCCACUUUCUAGUGCCUGUUUGGCAAACUAUUGAAGUACUUAAUUAUUGUGAAAAAAGUGCACGAAAAAAAAGCUACGUUACGCAGCUUUUUUAUGAGACUCAGCUUCUUUUUGUUCUGAAAUAAUUGAACCUACACUCACAAAGAAGCUAAUGAAUUACUCGAGAUGCAUAAUAAAUCUUAAAUUUAUUAUAAUAAUUAAUAAUAAUUAUAAUAAAUCUAAAUUUAUUAUAAUAUUAUUUAGUUAUUAAUUUUUUUCUUUAAAUACAGAGUUUAAAAUUUUGUAUUUUGUAAAGAAUAAAUUAACAGUAAAGUUAAUAAGUUAAAAAAAGUAACUAUUCCGUCAAACCCGUUAAGUCUGUUGGCUGUUUUAACAGGAGCCACUAAAAUGCUGUUUAAAAUGAAACAAUAGCCACCGAUAUGUAAAACAGGAAAUGUAGCCAUUUUUUCGUAAACCGAUGGUAAGUUUGGCCACCGAAAUGCAACUGACUAUAAAUUAUGUGCAUGUACGGAAGAGUGGUGUAUUUUAUCCGACGAUGCGCUCAAAUCUCAUCACAUUUCCAGCGUCCAUCAGAUUUUCUGACUAAUAUAGUAAUAUGGAUGCACAGCCGCACAGGAGCUGAUGCCAGUGGAGCAAGUACUCUCGAGUCUCGAUCAUGGGUUUUAAAAACUCUGGGCAAGAUGUCACUGUUAAGCAAGGUGGUGCUGACAGUACCAGUCCAAAAGAAAUCCUGUAGGGCUGUAUAGGCUUGUUGUUCGCAUGUAUUUUGAGAGUUUUCUAAAGUAGAGUUUCAUAACAUUUUUUUAUAAUUUUCUUUUAUUCAAAUAAAAGUUAAAUAUCAAAUUUGUAUUCAAAAGAAAAUGAAAUUAAGAUAUAUCAUAUAACUAUAUUUUAGAAUAAUUUUAAAAAACAUACCAAAAAGUAAAGUAUAUAAUGGACGUGGGAGUAUGGUGUGACAUUUGGUGUAAAAAUUACUCCAAUCCAACAUCAAAACAGUGUAAAAAUUACUCCAAUCCAACUUCGAAAUGGUGUAAAAAUUACCCCAACUGAAUUGGUUGACACCAAAUUUGGGAUCAAAUUUUAAUUUGGUGUAAUUUUUACAUCAAAUUUGGAGUAUUUUAAAAUGUCUAUUAUAUCCGCACACUUAUUAAAGAAAACAAAUUAAUUUCUUUUAUGUCCCAUUAAAAUUGUUUUAGUUCCUUAUCUAUUGAACAUGUUAAAAUUUAAGUACAAAUUCAAUAUUAUAUAAAUAACUUAAUAAAGAUUCCAUUUAAUGUGUAAAAGAUUUUUUUUAUAGAGGAUAUGGUAUUGAUGGGUUGAACUGAAGUUUUGAUAUAACUUAAUUUUCAAACGGGAAUGAUGUCAUUAGUUGGAGAUGGUCUUAAGCAUUCACAUUGGAUGCCCCAUCCCUAUCCCUAUAUUCUUGCUAAAUUUAGUAAUUCCCCAAAUUCAUCUUCAUGAAUUUAAAAAUCUCCUACAUCUCAUUCCCCAUUCUAUCUUACCCCAUCCCUAUAUUCUUUUUUAUAUUACUUCUUUCUCUCUCUUUCAUGUAUUAUAUAAUCAAUCACAUCUCAAAAUAAAACUAAAAAAUGAAAAGAAAAGGAUUAGGGCAUGAAUAGUGAGUCCCCAAAUAUGAGGUUUUAGUUUUUGUCCCUAAAACAAAACCCCAUUUUAGGGAUUCGGAUGGAGCAACAAGCCAACAAUUUUGAUAAAAAAUUAAAAAUUUCCUUAAAUUAUAAGGAUAGGGGAGAGAUAGGGAAGCCAAUGUGGGAAGCCAAUGUGAAUGCUCUUAUAUGUCUUUCUCUUAUGUUAAGUUUAGUUUCCCAUCUUGUAAAAACUAUAUAUAUACAGAGUACUGAAUAUAAAAUAAAUCCGAAUACACACAGUUAUCCAAGAAUAGGUUAAGAGGAGAGAUAGUGGUUGGAGCAGAAUAUCCUGCUUUUAAUCAAUGGAGUAGUGUUGUUCAUUAAUUUUAAAAGACCUCUAACCUAGACUCCAGAGUUUAAAAGCAUACACCUUUUACUAUUGUUAUUCAUUGUCAUUAGACCAUCCCAGAAAGUGAAAAGCUUUAUCCCGCGGAUGUGCAUAUUUAACUGUACUCGAGUCUUAACAGCUGGCUCGGUUUAGUAAUUUGUUAAGUAUAUAAAAAUUAUGAGCAUGUGCAUGAUAUAUAUUGAUAUGAGAGUUAAAUAACAUGACCUAUUUUCAAUUGUACAUAAUGAGAGUUAAAUAACAUGAACUAUUUUCAUAGGUAACCCGUAAGUCGUAACCUCAACUUGGCAACUUCUAUGACAACAACAAUCUCAAAUUACUUGCCACCGUAUUGACCGUUGAGCCUUUGAAUGGGAUGAACCAUUAGCUAGAAAAUUAAAAGCAGGUAUCAACUAUCUGGACAUUUUUAUUUUUUGUUUUGAAAACCAGAUGAUAUAAUUGGACCGUUUGGGUGUACCUAAGAUGAGUUAAAAAAGUGAAGUUUGAAUUAUAAUCAAGUUAAUACUUAAUUACUUCAGAGAGUUUGCUAAUAAUCUUUGGCCAAUAAUUGCUCCAGGCUUUAGACUCGCUAGAAAAUGUAUGAGAUAUUAAUCAAUAUACUCCAUCUUCAUCAUCCUGCACAUAAUGCAUUCCACCAUAUUCAUCAGCAAAAUUAGAUAUGAUAGUAAUUAGCCAGGAUUAUCACAGCACCAGAUCUUAAAAGGUAAUUAUACUAUACCUUUUUUUUUUAUAUAUAUAAGCCAUCAAAUCCAAAAAAUAAAAUAUUUGUCAUCAAUACUCCUACAGAGAAUAUUGGAUACAACUUGAUAUAUCUCUACAAAGCUAGUAUCGAUUCAUUUAAAUAAAAUCAUGGUGUAGAAAAUGACUAUAUUGUGAGCCGGUGAACCAUUUCAUGGCAAUCUGCCUUGCCACCCAAAAGACUGAAGCCAGUUUUGUACCUAGUGGAGGCACACAUGUUACUUGUUCUUGAGCGGUCUAUCCCCAAGAUAGUAGAGUUUGGCCCUCCUCACAUUCUUCUUGUCCAGCACCUUUAUCUCCUUUAUAUUAGGCGAAUACAAUGGAAAUUGGAAAGAGAGAUUCAAAUCCAAUUCCUGUUACCAGCCUUCUUAGUCUAACUGUAGUGUUGAGACCAGCGUUGCGCCUUGCAAUAACAAUGCCUUUCAAGGUUGAAGUGCGUCUCUUCUUCUCAGGUGCACUUUGAGCUGGAUUAUAUAACCAGGUUUGAUAUCAGCUGGUAUCUCUCUAUGUGCUUUGAGCAGCAGGACCUGGACAAUUUCUUGGCAACAUCUCCGAGAGGGGAGAUGCCAUUUACGGUAGAAAAUACAGCUAUGAUCUCACAUAAUAGGACAUUAAACAAAGAUGGUAUAUAUUUUUAAGUACCUGAGACGGUAGACAUUUCCUUUAACACAUGAGUUCUGUUCUAGCAAAAGAAGACGAUAAUCUCUUGUAGAUCUUGGUUUUCUCAUCAAGAACUCAUCAAAAACGGCAAAUUCAAAAUCCAGAUGACUGAAAAACAAACAAACAACAUGCAUUACAUUAUAUGUGUGGCAAAAUUAUUGAGUAAUCAAUGUUUCUUAAAACAUUGCAUAAAUACAUAGUUGCAUACAAAACAAUCAAUUUGUUAAAUGCAGCAACUUGAGAGAGGGAAAGUAAAUAAGUAGAGAAAGUGAGAGGGUUUUCAAAUUUUGAAAUUUGAAGAUGACUAAAACAGAUGAGAAAGAUGACUUACAUGAAUUGUAUAUAAUUUUAAGUACAAUAAUGAAUAACCCAUCAACUUUUCACAUUGGGAGUGAGAAGACACACAUAUUGUAUACAUACAGCUGUUCUAUUACACAACACGCACGCAAAUUCUCCAUGUAGUACUGAUAUAGUACAAAGCUUUAAUGACAAUAUGUCCUUCAUUUUUAAAAAAAAUAAAAAGCAUGCAGGAGAGCAGAGAAUUACACUCUAUGUAUAUGCAAUUGCACAUGCAAAAACAGUAGAAGUAUUAUACAUGUAGGCAUACAUAGUAUACCAGUCGUACAAAAAUCAUGAUACAUCAGCUUUUCCUUUGUAAAUAUGUACAAAUGUAGUAUUAGUAGGUAAAUACAUAGUAUUAUACGUUAGAAGGAGUAGAAAAAGUACAGUAUGAAGGUACUGAAAUUAUUCAGGAAUUAUAAGUUAUAUAGAUUAGUAACUUAAACGUUUAUCAACAGAAUAAAGCAAAAUUUGCUGUUACAGCAUUUGACUGGGUACUAACCACUUUGAAUAUAUAACUGCUAAGAAAAUUAAUCCAUAUAUUGAGGCAAAGGUCAAGCAAACGUACCGCUUGGGCAGCUUCAUCUAUUAUAACAACAUAAAAAGUGCAAUUCAGUUUACUGAAAAGAGAUGAACCACUGAAACUGAGUGUAGAGAAUACCUGCAACAAGUUCAGGAAUCAGCAAAGCUUUCAAACUUUAAUUUUAAAAAGAAAACUAGAAUAACAUACAAUCGCUGCUUCAUCUAAAAUUAAAUUACGGAUGGCAUUUUUAUCCCUUCCAGCACUUCCAUGCUUCUGUUUUUCACCAGUCUGGAAAUCCACGCCAGCAAUUUUUUGUUCCACCUAAAAAUUAGGACAUAAUGGAGCCUGUCUAAACGAAGGUACACAAAUUUUCAGAAAGUUUGCCAUGUGUUUGUCUUGCCAGGUACUUGCAAGAUGAUCCAUAGAUGCGGGAGCAAAAGAGUGAUGGACGUUGAGACCUAUUCGUACAAUUUAAGGGGUGUAUAAACGAUCACUUUCAUCAUGAAUACCCAAGAACAGCAAAAAAUGACGUAUAUUAGUUGGACACACAAACAAUUCUAUCACAAGGAAAAAGAUGUUGCUUAUAGAAAUCUUCAGAACUGACAUAUUUAAGAUGGAAGGAUAAGAAACGUGGCAUGUUAGAUUCAUAUGCCGGUAUUUUCUUGGAGAAAAGUUGGCUAGUUUUGCCUUUUCGUGUAAUAUCAAUUUGUGAGACUAGGUCAGAAACUGCAGCUAGAGUGCCCAUUUGGAAGUCACUCAUAGUACGAAACGCCUCCCAUUUAUCAGCUUCCAGGAUAACAGAGCAUAUAUCCUUUGAUUAUGGCACGACCCAGCGGGGCAUAAAUUGCCCAGAGUUGGUUCACCAAUCGCGUAAGGAAGGGGAUAGUCCCCACCAUCACAUGCCUGAAAGAGUCGUUUGAACCACGGAAGACUGCGCCAAUGCCUCAAGUGUUACCAAUUUCAGAAGGAACGAGAGAAUGUGUUCCAUGAACGUUUACUUUCAGAGUGCCUGGGUUGGGCGGAAUCCAGUGAUAUGCCAUGUUUGCACUGUUGAAAAAGAAAGUAGAGCCCCGAAUUUUUAUGGCUGCAUACUUGCAAAAUUUGGAGAAGAUUUGUACUACUUAACGUUUGUAAGUAAAUGCUCGACUGAAGCUUGAGAAGAACCACCUGAGUUCAUCAUUGCUAAUACAGUUGACUUACACAUGGAACUCAGCAUGUAUUAGCAAGUGAAGAUACGGAAUCAAUGUAGGGAGUUCCAUGCAAGUUAAUAUACUUUGAUAAUUCUAUAUGAAGCAGUCUAGUAAUGACAACAAAAGUAGCCCUCUCUUGCAGGUCCAUGAUGAAAGCCAAUUAAAAGAAUUUUGCCAAGCAUAACUUCAUGUUUUCUGCCGACCACAAAGCAUGACCUACUAAAUUAAUGUUUUUGACGUAGUAAAGCAGCAUCUCAACUAGAGAAGCGUGAAGUACAGAGAAAGGCAAGGCCCUCUCUUUCCUUGUCACACCUAUGGAAAGUACUUCUCACGCAAGGCAAGGAGAGCAGCAUCCGGUUCAUGCACUUCAAUUAAGUACAGUAACGCAGAUGCCAUAGAUGCAUCUGCUGCAAACCGAUGACCAAGCAUUUCAUCUAGGUACACCUGCUUCAUAGUAAUUCUUAUUCUGUAAACAACCGCAGAAAAGCAUGUUCAAUGUGACAUCAUUAGGCAAGCAAUCUUUGGCUUCCGUAUAGUUCACUCGCUUCAUCCAAUAACCCUUCAUGACAAUAUGCUUGGAUCAUCACUGUGUAUGUCUUGACAUCAGAUGGCACACAUUUCACAGGAAAGUUGUUAAAAAUGCUUCUUGCGUUCUCCAGAUGU
Molecule: long non-coding RNA, 25317 nt
Filed under: Daucus carota (carrot)
Lineage: Eukaryota; Viridiplantae; Streptophyta; Magnoliopsida; Apiales; Apiaceae
Description: long non-coding RNA (DCAR_LNC006037)
Source: RNAcentral